Molecule: transfer RNA, 73 nt
Filed under: Enterococcus sp. JM9B
Lineage: Bacteria; Bacillati; Bacillota; Bacilli; Lactobacillales; Enterococcaceae
Also listed under: 1 other name
Description: tRNA-Glu
Rfam family: tRNA
About the family: Transfer RNA (tRNA) molecules are approximately 80 nucleotides in length. Their secondary structure includes four short double-helical elements and three loops (D, anti-codon, and T loops).
Source: RNAcentral
GACCUGUUAGUCAAGGGGUUUAAGACGCCGCAUUCUCAGUGCGGAGGCGCCGGUUCGAAUCCGGCACAGGCUA